UAAGCAUAUCAAUAAGCGGAGGAAAAGAAACCAACAGGGAUUGCCCUAGUAACGGCGAGUGAAGCGGCAACAGCUCAAAUUUGAAAUCUGGCUCUCGGGCCCGAGUUGUAAUUUGUAGAGGAUGCUUUUGAUGCGGUGCCUUCCGAGUUCCCUGGAACGGGACGCCAUAGAGGGUGAGAGCCCCGUCUGGUUGGAUGCCAAAUCUCUGUAAAGCUCCUUCGACGAGUCGAGUAGUUUGGGAAUGCUGCUCUAAAUGGGAGGUAUAUGUCUUCUAAAGCUAAAUACCGGCCAGAGACCGAUAGCGCACAAGUAGAGUGAUCGAAAGAUGAAAAGCACUUUGAAAAGAGAGUUAAAAAGUACGUGAAAUUGUUGAAAGGGAAGCGUUUAUGACCAGACUUGGGCUUGGUUAAUCAUCUGGGGUUCUCCCCAGUGCACUUUUCCAGUCCAGGCCAGCAUCAGUUUUCGCCGGGGGAUAAAGGCUUCGGGAAUGUGGCUCUCUCCGGGGAGUGUUAUAGCCCGUUGCGUAAUACCCUGGCGGGGACUGAGGUUCGCGCAUCUGCAAGGAUGCUGGCGUAAUGGUCAUCAACGACCCGUCUUGAAACACGGACCAAGGAGUCGUCUUCGUAUGCGAGUGUUCGGGUGUCAAACCCCUACGCGUAAUGAAAGUGAACGCAGGUGAGAGCUUCGGCGCAUCAUCGACCGAUCCUGAUGUUCUCGGAUGGAUUUGAGUAAGAGCAUACGGGGCCGGACCCGAAAGAAGGUGAACUAUGCCUGUGUAGGGUGAAGCCAGAGGAAACUCUGGUGGAGGCUCGCAGCGGUUCUGACGUGCAAAUCGAUCGUCAAACAUGGGCAUGGGGGCGAAAGACUAAUCGAACCUUCUAGUAGCUGGUUUCCGCCGAA
RNAcentral lists this ribosomal RNA (900 nucleotides) under Fusarium sp. RNAcentral describes it as "partial large subunit ribosomal RNA". It matches the Rfam family "Eukaryotic large subunit ribosomal RNA", at positions 35 to 965 of the family's 3401-position model. Lineage: Eukaryota; Fungi; Ascomycota; Sordariomycetes; Hypocreales; Nectriaceae. The record is from RNAcentral.